RNAcentral lists this ribosomal RNA (497 nucleotides) under uncultured bacterium. RNAcentral describes it as "partial 16S ribosomal RNA". It matches the Rfam family "Bacterial small subunit ribosomal RNA", at positions 28 to 507 of the family's 1533-position model. The record is from RNAcentral.
GACGAACGCUGGCGGCGUGCCUAAUACAUGCCAGUUGAGCGCUGAAGGUUGGUACUUGUACCAACUGGAUGAGCAGCGAACGGGUGAGUAACGCGUGGGGAAUCUGCCUUUGAGCGGGGGACAACAUUUGGAAACGAAUGCUAAUACCGCAUAAAAACUUUAAACACAAGUUUUAAGUUUGAAAGAUGCAAUUGCAUCACUCAAAGAUGAUCCCGCGUUGUAUUAGCUAGUUGGUGAGGUAAAGGCUCACCAAGGCGAUGAUACAUAGCCGACCUGAGAGGGUGAUCGGCCACAAUGGGAAUGAGACACGGCCCAAACUCCCACGGGAGGCAGCAGUAGGGAAUCUUCGGCAAUGGACGAAAGUCUGACCGAGCAACGCCGCGUGAGUGAAGAAGGUUUUCGGAUCGUAAAACUCUGUUGGUAGAGAAGAACGUUGGUGAGAGUGGAAAGCUCAUCAAGUGACGGUAACUACACAGAAAGGGACGGCUAACUACGUG